AGUUCUGUGGACCGAGUGGUCAAAGUCAGCUGACUUAAAAUCAGUUUAUCGCGAGUUCGAUUCUCGCCAGAACUA
Tritrichomonas foetus is the source of this 75-nucleotide transfer RNA. It matches the Rfam family "tRNA". Rfam says of the family: Transfer RNA (tRNA) molecules are approximately 80 nucleotides in length. Their secondary structure includes four short double-helical elements and three loops (D, anti-codon, and T loops). The record is from Rfam. Lineage: Eukaryota; Parabasalia; Tritrichomonadida; Tritrichomonadidae.